This 233-nucleotide ribosomal RNA is filed under the name uncultured Sphingomonas sp. RNAcentral describes it as "partial 16S ribosomal RNA". It matches the Rfam family "Bacterial small subunit ribosomal RNA", at positions 355 to 605 of the family's 1533-position model. The record is from RNAcentral. Lineage: Bacteria; Pseudomonadati; Pseudomonadota; Alphaproteobacteria; Sphingomonadales; Sphingomonadaceae.
UGGGGAAUAUUGGACAAUGGGCGAAAGCCUGAUCCAGCAAUGCCGCGUGAGUGAUGAAGGCCUUAGGGUUGUAAAGCUCUUUUACCCGGGAAGAUAAUGACUGUACCGGGAGAAUAAGCCCCGGCUAACUCCGUGCCAGCAGCCGCGGUAAUACGGAGGGGGCUAGCGUUGUUCGGAAUUACUGGGCGUAAAGCGCACGUAGGCGGCUUUGCAAGUUAGAGGUGAAAGCCCGG